RNAcentral lists this long non-coding RNA (212 nucleotides) under Mytilus galloprovincialis (Mediterranean mussel). The record is from RNAcentral. Lineage: Eukaryota; Metazoa; Mollusca; Bivalvia; Mytilida; Mytilidae.
GAUUGCCUUUGUAUAUGUUCCAGACCGUAUGAGUAUUUGGACCGUACGCGUACGGUCUGGACCGUAUGCGUACUUUUUCAAAAUACGCAUACGGUCGGACCGUACGCGUACGGUCUGAUAAACAUUAAGAAGUUAGUCAAGUUUAUUAGAUACAAAUGUAUAUAACAGAUCAACAGAACUUAUGUCUCAAAUUAAUAUAAAAAGUUCAAUAG